This is a long non-coding RNA of Chloebia gouldiae (Gouldian finch), 1840 nucleotides long. The record is from Ensembl. Lineage: Eukaryota; Metazoa; Chordata; Aves; Passeriformes; Passeridae.
GGGCGGUGCGCGGCCAUUGCGUGGCGCUGAUUGGCUCAGACGCGCCGGCCACGCCCACCUGCAGCAGGUGCGGGGCGCUGAUUGGUGCGCUGGAGCCGGCCACGCCCCCGCCGGCAUCGCCCCCCCCGCAGUCGGGGCGCGGCCGCCGCCCCGCACGGACGGGCUCGCUCCGCGCUCCGCCAUGGCCGACUCCGCCGCGCAGUCCUCGCUCGUCUCCUCCAGCUCCUCUUCCACCUCCGUGACCUCCUCCUCCUCCUCCUCCUCCUCCUCCACGCGGGCCGGGGGCUGCGUGGGCGGCAGCUCCAUGUCGUGCGCCGAUCCCCCCAAUUCUUCCUCUUCCUCCUCCUCUUCCUCCUCCCAGCCCGUUUCUCUCUUUGCGGCUUCACCAGCAGCGCCGGGCGGGCGCGACCGGGGGGCGUCCCCGGCGGGGGGGAACCCCCAGAGCCCCCCGGAGUCGCCGGAGUCGCCGUUCGAGGUGGUCCCGGACCGAGCCGCCUUCGACCGCGAGUUCGGCCCCGCGCUCGGCCAGAUCCCCGAGGGCCGCGUGUGCCACUUCCCACCCAAGCCCCGCGGCGUCCCCGGCGGUGUUCCCGGCGGUGUCCCCGGUGGUGUCCCCGGGCGGGGGCUGGCCCGGCCGCCCCCCGGCUCGGCGGCGGCGCUGGAGGAGGUGUCGCGGUGCGUGCGGGAGAUGCACAGCUUCACCAGCGAGCUGCUCUCCUGGGACCUGGUGGAGCGCGGCAACGGCGCCGGGGACGGCCCCGGGGACAGCCUCGGCGGUGGUGGCACCGGGGACAGCCUUGGGGACGACCCCGGGGACAGCCCCGGCGGUGGCGGCACCGGGAACGGCGUUAACGGCGUUGGGAACGGCGUCACCGGGGUCACCGGCACUGGGAAUGGCGUCACCGGCACUGGGAGCAGCAUCACCGGUAUCGGGAAUGGUGUCACCGGUAUCGGGAAUGCUGUCACCAGUGUCACCGGCACUGGGGGUGACAUCACCAGCACUUGGAAUGGUGUCACCGGCCUCACUGGCACUGGGAAUCGUGUCACCGGCAUCGGAAAUGGCGUCACCGCUGUCACCGGCAUCGGGAAUGGCGUCACCGGUGUCACCGGCAUCGGGAAUGGCGUCACCGGUGUCACCGGCACUGGGAGCGGUGUCACCGGCAUCGGGAAUGGUGUCACGGGUGUCACCGGCAUCGGGAAUGGUGUCACCGCUGUCACCGCCGUGGGGAAUGGCACCGCUGGCGUCGGCAAUGGCAUCGGGAGUGGCCGGGGUGCCAUCGGGAGCGGGGUCACCGCCAUCACCGGCAGCAAGAGUGACGGCACCGCCGCUGGGAGCGGCCUCGCCGGCACUGGGAAUGUCCCCGGCGGUGUCCCCGGCGUAGGGGGUGGCAUCUUUGCGGUCCCCGGGGCUGUCCCCACCGACGCCGACAGCUCCGGGGACUCUGACGACACCGUCAUCGAGGAGGCGCCCGCCGCUGUCCCCAGGGAUGUCCCCCCCAGGGAUGUCCCCCCCAGAGAUGUCCCCCCCAGGGAUGUCCCCCCAAGGGAUGUCCCCGGGGCUGUCCCCGCUGUCCCCGCUGUCCCCAAGGACAUCCCCGUCCCCGCCGCCUCCCGGGACCAGACCCUGCCGGAACUGGCGGAGCCCCCCCGGCCCGCCCCGGCCGGGCCCCUCCCCCGCCUGGCAGGUAAAGCCCCAGCAGAGCCUUUUCCAGCCCAAAAUGGGGGGGAGGGGGCUGUGAAUGGACCCCAAAACGGGGGAAAAAUGAGGAAGAACGGGGAGACCCCAACCCAAAGUGCUGCUGGAGGGGGGGGGGCUCAGGAGCGCCUUGUUCUGGGGUGA